This 231-nucleotide long non-coding RNA is filed under the name Theobroma cacao (cacao). RNAcentral describes it as "long non-coding RNA (TCAC_LNC001673)". The record is from RNAcentral. Lineage: Eukaryota; Viridiplantae; Streptophyta; Magnoliopsida; Malvales; Malvaceae.
CUAUCCAUUUUUCAGGCUCAGGACAGUUUGUUAAUAGUUGAUUAAGACGAGAAUUAAUCUCGGAACUGCAUCCUAGAAAGUAAGGGUUCGUAGCCCUACACCUUCUUGGUCAGUUGGGGGCCCAUGUGUCACUGUAAAAGUAAUUUUAUACUUCAGUUAUCUGAUUUAAAGUAUGUAUGAACAUAUUUAGCUUUUACACCAUGUUUUUGGCAGGUUUCAGUAUUUUCAAAA